This is a long non-coding RNA of Biomphalaria glabrata, 2151 nucleotides long. RefSeq lists it as uncharacterized. The record is from RefSeq and is a predicted model, not a curated record. The transcript is spliced from 2 exons. NCBI's taxonomy places the organism in Eukaryota, Metazoa, Mollusca, Gastropoda, Planorbidae.
AAUCUAGUUCUAUGUUGUAAGCUAGUUCUAAUCUAUUUCUAAGCUAGUUCUAAGUCUUAGUUCUAAGCUAGUUCUAGACUAUAUAGCACAUUUUAAGUCCUCCAUGUUAGCGCUGCUAAAGACUUACAGGCUGUGACGCUGAGACGAAAGCCUUGACUACGUUUUGAUCAGUAGCUUCAAAGAGAUGACUAGAACUUCCUUUGAAGCAGCUGAUUACAAUGUAGUGAAGGAAUAACCACUAAACGAAGGCAGCACCAUGUUGAUGACACCGAGAAACAUGCAACUCUCAAAGCUAAGCGAAAAGAAUCAGCUUGGGUAAGUUUCAACUCAUUCAUUUUUGUUGCUGUUGGUUUCAUUUUUUUUCUUUCAUAAUACCUUUAUUCAAGUCAUAACUUCAUGGAAGUUGGAGGGCGGAAUCUGAACACUGAUCUAAAAAAAAAACACGUCUCUAACGAUUUUUUCUAGAAAUUUAACAGUUGAUUUAUAUUUGAUAUUGCUGAGAAAAGAAUUACUAGCUCGUUGGCCAAAUGGGGAAAACUCUAGUUUGAUCGUUAUAAUUUUUUAAAGAAUAAAUAAAUGUAAAUUUGGCUACAGUUGGUAGACUUAGGUCUAGAGCCAACAUCGGUUUUGAAAGGACACUCGCGUUGUUGAAAGGACUAUCGCGUUCGGGAAUUUCCGAAAGAGCUUAAUAGAUUAAUAUUCAGGAAAAUUUUGCGCAUUGUCUUCUAAGUCAAGAUUUAAGGCCCAGAUCUAUAUCAUUGGAAUUAUUGAAGAAAAAAAAACAACAACAGUUGUAUGUUAUAAUUUAAGUUGCUUUGAGUUUAUUGAUAGAUUAUCUUAGCUUUGCUUAUAUCUUUACGUAAAUAUAAUAUAAAUUACAUCUAAAUCUAGAUCUAGAAGUAGAUCUAAACUAGAUCUUAAGAUCCAGAAGUAGAUCUAGAAGUAAUCUAAAAGUAGAUCUAGAAGUAGAUCUAGAAUUCUAGAUCUAAACUAGAUCUUAAGAGUCUACGAUUAAUAAACGUACCAAUAAAGAAUUGAUUUCUUAUACAAUGCCGGAUGGCCUAGUGGGUAGAAUCAUUCUAUGAAGAAGCUAGCAGUGUCAACAUCACAAAUUAUAUAUCCAAUUUGAACAAAACUUUAUUUUAAUUAAUUUAUUUGCUUUUUUAUAGUUCAAUUAUGUUUUUUUUUUUAAAUUAUCGUCAUAAUCUGUCCCUUGACUGUUGCAGUAGGGGUGCUGUGACUGUUCACGUAACCAGAUCCCUACAUUUUUCUCAUUCAACAUCUGUUCUUAGCAGAAUAUCGAGAGGCCGGUCCAUCUUUAUACAAUGUCCAGCCAGCUUUGUUUCAUACUCCCUCCACUGUCCCCUGAAGAAUGACUUUAGACCAGUGGUGUAGAUAUGGUGGUGGAUUGGGGGGGGGGGGGAGAAUUUGAAAAUCCCCCAAAUGAGUGUUCGAAAUUUUUUUUAAAAUUAAAUAUUAAAUAAACGCCAUUAUCUCAUGUCAUAAGGCCGUAUGCCAAAAUGCAGGGUCCCCUAAAGAUGUCAAGCUCCCGUGCCCCCCCCCCCCAAAUGAUGGCAAACUCCUAGCUACGCCACUGCUUUAGACUGUGAGUCAUGGCUUACAAUGUGAGCAAACCAAAGACAGUAAAAGACACUUGCUAGUUAUUUUCCACAAUCUGUCAGAAGAAUGGUAUCUUGCAUGAUUUAAGAAACGACUAAUUGUUUCUUUUUAAUGUGUCUGUAGCUAGACGUAUCAAGUUCGAGUCCCACAACUGGAGGAGCAUAGGACUGAAGUGUAUGUCUGGUCACUCGAACUGCUUGAGCGCUAUGAGACAUAACAUUGAAUAGCCGAGGACGCAGAGCCCUCGACUUAAUCUCAAUGGGAGUUAAAUCUCGCGCAUAAUGGAAGUCUCUUGCGAAGGCUGUGGAACCAAGACCAAUCAUUAUAAUAGGCAUGAACACUGACCUGUAACGACGCAAUCUGUGGGUAGUGGAGACCAAUAGCUCAUUGCCACGUCACAGGUCUGUACAAUGUGGCAACGAGAUAUUCGUCUCCAAUCUCCACUGACUCGAGGACAAGCUUUAAUUUGUUUUUUCGGAUAAAUUCAGAAAGCUAUUUCUAAAAAAAAAAUACACUUUCAUUGGUGACCUA